Molecule: ribosomal RNA, 241 nt
Filed under: uncultured bacterium
Lineage: Bacteria
Description: partial 16S ribosomal RNA
Rfam family: Bacterial small subunit ribosomal RNA
Source: RNAcentral
CGGGUGCGAGUAGAGUGGCGGACGGGUGAGUAAUGCUUAGGAAUUUACCCAAUAGUGGGGGAUAACUCGAGGAAACUCGGGCUAAUACCGCAUAUACCCUAAGGGGGAAAGAUUUAUCGCUAUUGGAUGAGCCUAAGUCAGAUUAGCUUGUUGGUAGGGUAAUGGCUUACCAAGGCGACGAUCUGUAGCUGGUCUGAGAGGACGAACAGCCACACUGGGACUGAGACACGGCCCAGACUCC